Molecule: RNA transcript, 2154 nt
Organism: Drosophila teissieri
Lineage: Eukaryota; Metazoa; Arthropoda; Insecta; Diptera; Drosophilidae
Gene name: Kv channel-interacting protein 1
Exons: 7
Source: RefSeq, a predicted model, not a curated record
GAAAAGCAAUGCGAGAGUUAGACAAACAAGUUGGAGGAAAUUUUCCAGCUACAGCUACAGCUGCUGCCUCGGCCAGCGUCGCAGUCGCUGUUCGAGAUAAAGGAUAUGCCCGGAUCUAAAAGAUACAGUUUUUCCUCUUGUUUCUUUUUCCGCUGCCGCUGCUGCUGCGGCUGCUGCUACAUUCGCUGCUUGGCAUUUUCCGCACAGCAACAACAAUCGUUGAGACAGGACCUCCAGCUUAGCUAAAAUGUAACAUAACACCAAAUAAGAAGCGAACAGAACACCGAAAAGUGAGCGCCAAAUAAUGCAAAUAAAUGAAUAAGCCCAAAUCAUUAACAAAUUAAAACGAGACACGCACGGAAGGGCAGGAAAAUAUAAAUAUCGAAAGGAGUCAAGUCGAGUGUUUUCGAGGAGCUGUUUGCUGGCAUGCUUUGAGGUUAAUACCACCCACCACUCUCCACCCAGCCACCCACUACCACCCAUCAACCAUCAGCCAUCACCAACUCAUUCCUCCUUCUACCCUCAUCUCCGUUUUGGCCAAUUUCUCCGUCUGCUUUCGCCGCUUUCUUCGUCACCGCCGCCCCUGCCGCCGCCGCUGCUGCCGUCACCAUCAAAAGGCAUCGAAGCAAUGGUAGCCUCAUUAGCGACUUAGCAGAAUGGCGCAAAGGAAACCGUAACCGAAAACCAGCAAAACCGAAAAAAAAGGAUACGCCGAAAGGGAUUAAAAGCAGCAGCCGCUGAAAAGGUUGAGCACCCAUAAAAAAACAGCACAAAGAAAUUGUAUACUCCCAGCGAAUUUCGGGGCAUAAUGAGUACGCGGUCGCGUCCCUAAGAAGCGAGCACCUCAAAUGCAAAUUGAUAUUAAGCCGCCAAUCAUAAUCAGCAGCGAUAUUAAUUAAACACCGCGACCAGUCAACAAUAAUCAAGCAACCGCCAUGGCCUCACCACCGGAGAGUCCCAUCGAGGAGGUGGUCUACGAGUUGGAACACACACGAGUGCCUAAGCCCAUUCCCGUUGCCCUCGAGGAUCUGUGCCGGCAGACCAAGUUCACCAAGCAGGAAAUCCGCGUCAUGUACAGAGGAUUUAAGACGGAAUGCCCCGAGGGCGUGGUACACGAGGAUUGUUUUAAGGAUAUCUACGCCAAAUUCUUUCCACAUGGCAAUUCGAGUUUAUACGCUCAUUAUGUGUUCAAAGCGUUCGAUGUUAAUUGCAAUGGCGCCAUUAGUUUUCGGGAUUUACUGGUCACCUUGUCGACCUUGCUGAGAGGUUCGGUAUAUGAGCGUCUGCGUUGGACCUUCAAGUUGUACGACUUGAACGGCGACGGAAGGAUCAGUCGCGGCGAACUGAGUGAAAUUAUUUUGGCCAUUCACGAGCUUAUGGGUCGGAGACCACACCAACCUGAGGACGAUCGCAAGGCGAGGGAUCAGUGAGUACAAGUCUCGGCCUUGAUACUCGGCUCAUUCGGCAUUGAACAAUCGAUGUGCUAGGCCUUAAUCAACUUGUUCAAGGUACAAAAGCAAAUCUCUGCUUAUCCACAAUGAGCAUUAUGUUCUAGGCCAUUCUGUUGAAAUGUCUAUCUGCAUAUGCAUCGCACUUCCUCUGGCGCAGAUUUGUAUGCCUCAUUCUUUAUGCAAAAGCCACACUUCAUGAAACGUGCUGCAUCCGCUGACGUUAGUCGGGCAGUCGGGCGGUCGGGCGCACAGUGCGUAUGAGUAAUUAUGAUUGGGAGCACACACAGAAAUAUGCGCAUACAUGCGGAAUGCAUAAGUCGGGAAUCGAAAUUGCAUCGACAGUUGGUGAGAGGCGAGCGAAGGGAAAGCGGAUGCUUUCGUGUGCGGAAACAGCAGCGGAUAUUUUACUUAAUGAUGAAGGUUUCACUUUUUCCCGCGGAUAAUACUUACGCGAAAAUGCCAAUGAAAAGUCGCUGAAAUUGAAAUGAGCGAUUAAAUGGAAAAUGGCUUUGUGCCAGUCAACGAAAUUUAUAAGUAAUAAACGGAAACGAGAGUAAUUUAAUUGAUAAGUCUUUACCAAAUUGAUGUGGAUCGUGUGUUCCGCAAACUGGACUUGAACCAGGAUGGCAUUAUAACGAUAGAGGAGUUUUUGGAGGCCUGUUUGAAGGACGACUUGGUAACUCGAUCGCUACAAAUGUUCGAC